RNAcentral lists this transfer RNA (69 nucleotides) under Anthrenus verbasci (variegated carpet beetle). Its description in RNAcentral is "tRNA-Met". RNAcentral also lists the same sequence under 1 other name. The record is from RNAcentral. Lineage: Eukaryota; Metazoa; Arthropoda; Insecta; Coleoptera; Dermestidae.
AAAAAGGUAAGCUAAUUUAAGCUCAUGGGUUCAUACCCCAUUAAUGAAGGUCUGCCCCUUCCCUUCUUA